AAAAGAACCCCGGGAGGGGAGUGAAAUAGAUCCUGAAACCGCAUACAUACAAACAGUAGGAGCCUCGUUAAGGGGUGACUGCGUACCUUUUGCAUAAUGGGUCAGCGACUUACGUUUAAUGGCGAGCUUAACCGUAUAGGGGAGGCGCAGCGAAAGCGAGUUCGAACAGAGCGUUCAGUCGUUAGGCGUAGACCCGAAACCAGAUGAUCUAUCCAUGGCCAGGUUGAAGGUGUGGUAACACACACUGGAGGACCGAACCGACUAGUGUUGCAAAAUUAGCGGAUGAGCUGUGGAUAGGGGUGAAAGGCUAAACAAAUCUGGAGAUAGCUGGUUCUCCCCGAAAACUAUUGAGGUAGUGCCUCGUGUAUGACUCCAGGGGGUAGAGCACUGUUAUGGCUAGGGGGACAUGGCGUCUUACCAAACCAUGGCAAACUCCGAAUACUUGGAAGUUUGAGCACGGGAGACAGAGCACCGGGUGCUAACGUCCGGACUCAAGAGGGAAACAACCCAGACCGCCGGCUAAGGUCCCUAAUAUUGACUAAGUGGAAAACGAAGUGGAAAGGCUAAGACAGUCAGGAAGUUGGCUUAGAAGCAGCCAUCCUUCAAAGAAAGCGUAAUAGCUCACUGAUCGAGUCUUUCUGCGCGGAAGAUGUAACGGGGCUAAGUCAAUAACCGAAGCCGCGGAUUCACACUUGUGUGUGAGUGGUAGGGGAGCGUUCUGUAAGCCUGCGAAGGUGACUCGUAAGGGUUGCUGGAGGUAUCAGAAGUGCGAAUGCUGACAUGAGUAACGUUAAAGCGGGUGAAAAGCCCGCUCGCCGUAAGCCCAAGGUUUCCUGCUCUACGUUCAUCGGAGCAGGGUGAGUCGGCCCCUAAGGUGAGGCUGAGAAGCGUAACUGAUGGGAACAAGGUUAAUAUUCCUUGACCACCGCUGAAUGCGAAGGGGGGACGGAGUAUUGAAGAUCAUCCGGGUGUUGGAUAUCCCGGUUUGCGAGCGUAGGAGGCUGACAGGCAAAUCCGUCAGCGAAUCUCCGAGGCAAAGCAUCGAGCUCUCUUUUGAGCGAAGUGAUUGGAUGUGCUUCCAGGAAAAGCCUCUAAGCUCCAGUUCAGCGGGACCGUACCGCAAACCGACACUGGUGGGCGAGCUGAAUAUGCUCAGGCGCUUGAGAGAACUCAGGAGAAGGAACUCGGCAAAUUGACACCGUAACUUCGGGAUAAGGUGUGCCUUUGUAGCGUGGAGGGAGAAACACCCCGAGCGCGAAGAGGUCUCAGAUAAUCGGUGGCUGCGACUGUUUAUUAAAAACACAGCACUCUGCAAAGACGAAAGUCGACGUAUAGGGUGUGAUGCCUGCCCGGUGCUGGAAGAUUAAUUGAUGGGGUGCAAGCUCCUGAUCGAAGUCCCAGUAAACGGCGGCCGUAACUAUAACGGUCCUAAGGUAGCGAAAUUCCUUGUCGGGCAAGUUCCGACCUGCACGAAUGGCAUAACGAUGGCCACACUGUCUCCUCCUGAGACUCAGUGAAGUUGAAGUGUUUGUGAUGAUGCAAUCUCCCCGCGGCUAGACGGAAAGACCCCAUGAACCUUUACUGUAGCUUUGCAUUGGACUUUGAACCGAUCUGUGUAGGAUAGGCGGGAGCCUGUGAAACCACAACGCCAGUUGUGGCGGAGGCGUCCUUGAAAUACCGCCCUGAUUUGUUUGAGGUUCUAACCUGGGACAGUCAUCCUGUCCGGGGACCGUGCAUGGUAGGCAGUUUGACUGGGGCGGUCUCCUCCUAAAGGGUAACGGAGGAGUGCGAAGGUACGCUAGGUACGGUCGGAAAUCGUGCUGAUAGUGCAAUGGCAAAAGCGUGCUUGACUGCGAGACCCACAAGUCGAGCAGAUACGAAAGUAGGUCAUAGUGAUCCGGUGGCUCUGUAUGGAAGGGCCAUCGCUCAACGGAUAAAAGGUACUCUGGGGAUAACAGGCUGAUACCGCCCAAGAGUUCAUAUCGACGGCGGUGUUUGGCACCUCGAUGUCGGCUCAUCUCAUCCUGGGGCUGUAGCCGGUCCCAAGGGUAUGGCUGUUCGCCAUUUAAAGAGGUACGUGAGCUGGGUUUAAAACGUCGUGAGACAGUUUUGUCCCUAUCUGCCGUGGGCGCUGGAAGAUUGACGGGGGCUGCUCCUAGUACGAGAGGACCGGAGUGGACUCACCUCUGGUGUACCGGUUGUCACGCCAGUGGCAUCGCCGGGUAGCUAUGUGGGGAA
RNAcentral lists this ribosomal RNA (2238 nucleotides) under human gut metagenome. RNAcentral describes it as "bacterial LSU rRNA". It matches the Rfam family "Bacterial large subunit ribosomal RNA", at positions 517 to 2760 of the family's 2925-position model. The record is from RNAcentral.